RNAcentral lists this ribosomal RNA (592 nucleotides) under uncultured bacterium. Its description in RNAcentral is "bacterial SSU rRNA". It matches the Rfam family "Bacterial small subunit ribosomal RNA", at positions 8 to 609 of the family's 1533-position model. The record is from RNAcentral.
AGAGUUUGAUCUGGCUCAGGAUGAACGCUAGCGGCAGGCCUAAUACAUGCAAGUCGAACGGUGAUAUUUAUAUCAUAGUGGCGCACGGGUGCGUAACACGUAUGCAACCUACCUAUUAUUGGGGGAUAGCCUUUGGAAACGGAGAUUAAUACCGCAUAAUACGAUUAACUGGCAUCGGUUGAUUGUUAAAGCAUUUGCGAUAAUAGAUGGGCAUGCGUCCAAUUAGUUAGUUGGUGUGGUAAUGGCUCACCAAGGCGAUGAUUGGUAGGGGAUCUGAGAGGAUAAUCCCCCACACUGGCACUGAGAUACGGGCCAGACUCCUACGGGAGGCAGCAGUAGGGAAUAUUGGGCAAUGGGCGGAAGCCUGACCCAGCCAUGCCGCGUGCAGGAAGACGGCGUUAUGCGUUGUAAACUGCUUUUUUAUAGGAAGAAGGAUCCCUUGCGAGGGAAGGUGACGGUACUAUAAGAAUAAGCACCGGCUAACUCCGUGCCAGCAGCCGCGGUAAUACGGAGGGUGCAAGCGUUGUCCGGAUUUAUUGGGUUUAAAGGGUGCGUAGGCGGUUUAUUAAGUCAGUGGUGAAAGACGGUCGCU